RNAcentral lists this long non-coding RNA (363 nucleotides) under Oryza brachyantha (malo sina). RNAcentral describes it as "long non-coding RNA (OBRA_LNC002583)". The record is from RNAcentral. Lineage: Eukaryota; Viridiplantae; Streptophyta; Magnoliopsida; Poales; Poaceae.
AGAGACUAGAUGAAUGGACUUAUGAAUUCUUGGCAUUUUUCUAGAUUUACUAAAACUUGAAUGGACUUAAACGGAGACUAGAUGAAUUACUUAUGAAUUCUAGAAGAUUAACUGUGUUUUUAAACUAAACAGAAAAACCUUAAUGAAUUAUUGCACAAUUAAUUGGAGACAUGAUGUCAGCACAGAGGAGAGAGGAGGCUGACAUCCAGGGCCCACAUGGCAGUGACUCAAGGAAAGGGGAAAGAGGCUGACAAUGGGACCCACGGGGAAAGAGAGAAAGGGAGAAGAGCUGUCCAGGGGAGCGGCGCACGGCAAAGGCCGGUUGUGGGAAUGAUGACGGCCAGGGCGGCGGAGACCGAACGC